AACGAACGCUGGCGGCAGGCUUAACACAUGCAAGUCGAACGGAAGCGCCGUGCUUUCUUGGGCUCACGGGUGGCGAGCGGGGGACGUAUCAGGUAUGUACCGUGCCCUAGUUUUUGGUGUAGGUUAAGGAAGGUGGACUUACUCCAGUACCGGAGACCUCCUACGAGGGUGGGGAUGGGAACGUUUCGGCGGUUGGGGAUGGAUGCGCGGAUUACCGGCUUGUUGGUGGGGUAGUGGCUUACCAAGGCUUUGACGGGUAGCCGGCCUGAGAGGGGGACCGGCCACAUUGGGACUGAGAGACGGCCCAGACUCCUACGGGAGGCAGCAGUGGGGAGUAUUGCACAAUGGGCGGAAGCCUGAUGCAGCAACGCCGCGUGCGGGAUGACGGCCUGCGGGUUGUAAACCGCUGUCGCCUGUGACGAAGCGUGAGUGACGGUAAUGGGUAAAGAAGCACCGGCUAACUACGUG
This 468-nucleotide ribosomal RNA is filed under the name uncultured bacterium. RNAcentral describes it as "partial 16S ribosomal RNA". It matches the Rfam family "Bacterial small subunit ribosomal RNA", at positions 28 to 507 of the family's 1533-position model. The record is from RNAcentral.